This 618-nucleotide ribosomal RNA is filed under the name uncultured bacterium. RNAcentral describes it as "bacterial SSU rRNA". It matches the Rfam family "Bacterial small subunit ribosomal RNA", at positions 338 to 950 of the family's 1533-position model. The record is from RNAcentral.
CCUACGGGAGGCAGCAGUGGGGAAUUGUUCGCAAUGGGCGCAAGCCUGACGACGCAACGCCGCGUGGAGGAUGAAGACCUUCGGGUCGUAAACUCCUUUCGAUCGAGACGAACGGCUUCCGGGUGAACAAUCCGGAAGAGUGACGGUACCGAGAGAAGAAGCCCCGGCUAACUCCGUGCCAGCAGCCGCGGUAAUACGGGGGGGGCAAGCGUUGUUCGGAAUUACUGGGCGUAAAGGGCUCGUAGGCGGCCAACUAAGUCAGACGUGAAAUCCCUCGGCUUAACCGGGGAACUGCGUCUGAUACUGGAUGGCUUGAGGUUGGGAGAGGGAUGCGGAAUUCCAGGUGUAGCGGUGAAAUGCGUAGAUAUCUGGAGGAACACCGGUGGCGAAGGCGGCAUCCUGGACCAAUUCUGACGCUGAGGAGCGAAAGCCAGGGGAGCAAACGGGAUUAGAUACCCCGGUAGUCCUGGCCCUAAACGAUGAAUGCUUGGUGUGGCGGGUAUCGAUCCCUGCCGUGCCGAAGCUAACGCAUUAAGCAUUCCUCCUGGGGAGACGGUCGCAAGGCUGAAACUCAAGGAAUUGACGGCNGNGAGNGCGACGACGACGACGAGGGAGAGG